Molecule: small nucleolar RNA, 78 nt
Filed under: Drechmeria coniospora
Lineage: Eukaryota; Fungi; Ascomycota; Sordariomycetes; Hypocreales; Ophiocordycipitaceae
Description: Small nucleolar RNA SNORD24
Rfam family: Small nucleolar RNA SNORD24
About the family: U24 is a member of the C/D class of snoRNA which contain the C (UGAUGA) and D (CUGA) box motifs.
Source: Rfam by way of RNAcentral
UGGGAAUGAUGUACCAAAAAAUUGCAUGUAUUACCUGAACACCGUUGAUGUUUCUUUAUCACCAAGAUCUCUGACCCA